UACGGAAGGGGCGAGCGUUGUUCGGAAUCAUUGGGCGUAAAGGGCGCGUAGGUGGUUCUGUAUGUCUACCGUGAAAGCGUACGGCUCAACCGUAUUUUGUCGGUAGAAACUGCAGGACUUGAGGCUGGGAGGGGCUGGUGGAAUUCCCUGUGUAGCGGUGAAAUGCGUAGAGAUGGGGGGAGAACACUCGUGGCGAAGGCGGCCAGCUAGACCAGUUCUGACACUGAGGCGCGACAGCGUGGGGAGCAAACAGG
RNAcentral lists this ribosomal RNA (254 nucleotides) under uncultured bacterium. RNAcentral's name for it is "partial 16S ribosomal RNA". It matches the Rfam family "Bacterial small subunit ribosomal RNA", at positions 524 to 776 of the family's 1533-position model. The record is from RNAcentral.